CGGCUUCUCCUGGGUCCCUGCCUGCUGCGUGGCGCCUCUCCCGACCGAAGGAGCGAAGCAGCAGCCUCGGGACCCAAUUCAUGCAUACAUGGUGUAAGAAAACAAUGUGAAACUUGGUGUCAGAAACAGAUGUGAAACUUGAUUUAAGAAACAGAAGUGAAACUUGAUUUAAGAAGCAGAAGUGAAACUUGAUUUAGGAAACGAUCGACAGGACUUCAGAAAACUCUGUGAAGCUUGAUUUAAGAAACAGAUGUGAAAGUUGAUUUAAGAAACGAUCGACACGACUUCAGAAAACUAUGUGAAACUUGAUUUAAGAGAAACCAAAGCAGAAGAAGUGAAACUUGAUUUAGGAAACGAUCGACAGGACUUCAGAAAACUCUGUGAAGCUUGAUUUAAGAAACAGAUGUGAAAGUUGAUUUAAGAAACGAUCGACACGACUUCAGAAAACUAUGUGAAACUUGAUUUAAGAGAAACCAGUUCGAC
RNAcentral lists this long non-coding RNA (483 nucleotides) under Equus asinus (donkey). RNAcentral describes it as "lncRNA (ENSEASG00005029293.1)". Lineage: Eukaryota; Metazoa; Chordata; Mammalia; Perissodactyla; Equidae. The record is from RNAcentral.